GCGGCCGCCGGGUCACACCCAGGCGCAGAGUUGCUCGUCCUCGUCGGGGCGCCCCGGGGGGCGGCGGGGUCCGGGGGUCCCAGCUGCAGCUCCCCCACACAAAGACCUCAUUUCAAAGGGCUUGACUCCGGUAGCUGCCCCAUCAGUAGCUGCCACCUGGAGGCCAGCCCCCCACCCCCUGUCCCAGCCCCAGCCCCGCUGCUCCCUCAUCUGAACACCUUGUCGGUGUCCUCCGCCUGCGUCUCAGAGUGGAUGAGAGGGGACCUGGGAUGCGCGUGAGCCGCAGGGUGUGGGGCCCGUACACGGCAGGCACUCAGCAGGCUGCCAGGGACCACAGGCACCCUCGCGUCUGAACCCAGCCAUCCCGAGCAGAGGAAAGGCAGAUUUUCCAGGACAAGAACCUGUGUUCCAUCAUUUUUUUUUUUUUUUUGGAGACAGUCUCA
Molecule: long non-coding RNA, 443 nt
Filed under: Homo sapiens (human)
Lineage: Eukaryota; Metazoa; Chordata; Mammalia; Primates; Hominidae
Description: non-protein coding lnc-ANKRD65-1:1
Source: RNAcentral